CAGAAUUUGCAGAGUGUUUAAC
RNAcentral lists this small nuclear RNA (22 nucleotides) under Arabidopsis thaliana (thale cress). Its description in RNAcentral is "snRNA_19111". The record is from RNAcentral. Lineage: Eukaryota; Viridiplantae; Streptophyta; Magnoliopsida; Brassicales; Brassicaceae.